UCAUCUGCCGCAUGUGUUCCCUGUGAGCCUGAAAUGGAUCCCUAAGGCGGAGGAAGUAAAAACAAAAACUCGGAGAAGACUGACAUCUUCAGGAUCAACCGUCUGGAUAUCUUAAAUGUGACGAGGACAACGUCCAGGAGAUCGACCUGAAAACCUACAAAGAGCCGUUAUCAAAAUAAUGUGACGUUUGAGUUGUAUUUCAUUCAAGCACAUCCGAUUCAAAUAUAGCCUUCCUUUUUUUGUUUAUGAAGUUUUAUUAAAAACUUAAAAAUAAAGUAUACAAACAUUCUUC
Pseudoliparis swirei is the source of this 292-nucleotide long non-coding RNA. RefSeq lists it as uncharacterized. NCBI's taxonomy places the organism in Eukaryota, Metazoa, Chordata, Actinopteri, Perciformes, Liparidae. The record is from RefSeq and is a predicted model, not a curated record. The transcript is spliced from 2 exons.